Molecule: long non-coding RNA, 393 nt
Filed under: Pan troglodytes (chimpanzee)
Lineage: Eukaryota; Metazoa; Chordata; Mammalia; Primates; Hominidae
Description: long non-coding RNA NONPTRT010282
Source: RNAcentral
GGAAACACUGUCUGGGUCCCCAUAACAAAUAGAAACACUCUGGGCCUACCCUGUCUUUUGGUGAGUGCUUGCUGGUUGUCCUAAUAAGAGAAUCUUCCUCUUGGAAUAUUAACUGCUAUUUUUAUUAAUGAGGCUCUUCUGAACAGUCUUUCUGCAAUAACCAUUGUAACACUGUUUAAAUAGCUUUUUGUGUUAAGACAGGGCCUUCAAUAUCACCUAAGUAAGCCGUUUUGAUUUAAAGAUAAUUAAAAACCUUUCUGACGGAAAAUUUUCCCCAAUGUCCUGUUUAAAAUUUCCACUCUUGGCACGAACAAAUACACUAAAAGCCAAAACCAAAGCAACCUCUAAGCCUGACAAGUCAGCUGUCCAGGGGCCACUGCCCCCCCGCACCCA